AGCUGCGUGGUGAGCACAAAGCGAACUAUUCUUUCGCCUUUUACUAAAGAAUGCCGUGUGCGCACCACAUUUAAGCAGCAUACUCUUAUUUUUGGAGGGUGUUUUCUCUUUAAUAGAGAAU
Non-coding RNA from Oryza punctata, 121 nucleotides. The record is from Rfam. Lineage: Eukaryota; Viridiplantae; Streptophyta; Magnoliopsida; Poales; Poaceae.